GGGGCUGGAGCAGGGGCAUGUACCUCAGUAACAAUAUCACUAUCACUGACUGUGGCUGUUAAUAAGUUUUCCAAAUCCCCCAGCCAGCUCUCAGGGCAAUAGGAAGUUAUACCAUGGCUGACACUCAGUGAGAAUCAUUAAUGUGGAAUCCCAUUGAUAGACAAAUCCUUUCUCAAUCCACAAAUUAAGAAUAUAAAUUAAAUAAAUUAAAAGUCUUAAGAAAUAACCAUUUUCCCUGAAUAAUUACAUCUUCUCUAGAUGUAAUUAUUACAUCUUCUCUAGAAGAUGUAAUUAUUAGAGUUGAUUACAUCAACACUAAAGGCCUACAAACUUCUACGAUUUAAAGCAAGAUUAUUCUUAAGUUCUUCUUUAAUGAAAAAUACUACACGAAGAAAUGAAAUGAAAAUAAGCACGCUACAACACAGAUGUUCUUUAUAUCCAGGAAAUAAAACAUUUUAAGUUUUCCUGCAGUUAGAACAGAGUGAUGUAGCUCCUACAGUGAAGCUAAGGCUUAUUUACAAGCACUUACCAUUAUACUCUAACAAUAUGCAGUUAUAAAUAUUGACUCAGCCUUCCUGUCUCUCCAUUACAUGGGCUAGGAAAACUGAAUUCACCUCCAAACAUUUAUUCUGAAGUUAAAUUAACUUCUUCCAGAAGUCUGAAAAAAAUGGCUAAGUCAUGAGUAAAUCUAAAAUCUGAAGUCCGAUUUUUUUCCAGAUAAGAUAUUGCCUAUCAAACCCUAAAGUAACAGUUACACCACAAAUGUGAUUGACUUUAAGAUGCAACAUUACGAUAUUCCAUUUGCAAACGUAUCAGAAGGACUUCAUUAAAACCAGUUCAGCAAGUCAACAAGACCUAUAACUGAGGGAUCUAACUGGCACAAACAGGAAAUGAAAAAUUAUGGAAGAACUUUGACCUGAGUGAGAAUUACUCAGAUCAGAGCUUGGUACAUUACAGAAGACUUCUCUGAAGACAGACAGAGUACAGCAGAUGUGAAAUGAUACAAAUUUUGGACAGGAUGCUGUACCAUGGAACGUCAUUCUGAUUUGUAGCCAGAAUUUGAAAAAAAAAAAAAAAAAAAAAAAAAAGUACAAGGAACAGAAGUAUGGAGAAAUGCGAUAGACAAGGAAAGUGUCAGAUGCUCAAAGUAAACUCCUGUCUUUUGGUCUGAGAUCCAGGCAAACUCUUUCUCAGAACUCUAUACCUACCGGUGUGUGUCCCCCACCCUUCCCUUUUCUCUUCAGAAGACCCACAAUUACCUGUCUUCAAUUAUCUUUCCCACCUGCAUUACUGGAAGAAGUCCCUGAAAAGAUCACCAGAAGAGACCUAGGCUAAUAAGAAGUAUUUGCACACAGAGCUCUGACAAACAGGAACAAAUCUUGGAAAAGUUCAGCUGCUAGCUUCUAAGUCCAGCCAUAUGAAAACUGUAGUUUUUCCAAAGCUUUACAGUACUUCUAAUGAGUUUUCCGGUGAAUUUUCACAGGACAAACACUGCAUGUAUCUGGUAAAAGCCAUUCCUUAUAAAUUUCAAAUUCAAAUCAAGAUUCUAGAGCAUUUCCAUUUCACGCUAGAGGAAUUAGUUUUUUAACAAAAGUGAAAAAUGGCUAAGUUUCUUUACAUCUAUUCUCAGAAAUUGUAGCAAACUAAUUUUAACUCAACUUCUCCAAAAGAACAUCAGCUUGAAAAUACACUUUCUGAGGCUUAAGACCAGAUGGCUGGAGUUUAGUGAAGGUAAGAGCUGUUGGAAAUGAGGUGUAAUUUUGGACAUUAUGAGGAAACUUACUUGGUGGUGUUACCAGCCUCACAAAAUAUUUUCAUAUUUCUAUGAAUAAU
Molecule: long non-coding RNA, 1833 nt
Organism: Oxyura jamaicensis (ruddy duck)
Lineage: Eukaryota; Metazoa; Chordata; Aves; Anseriformes; Anatidae
Exons: 4
Source: RefSeq, a predicted model, not a curated record